CCUGCCAGUAGUCAUAUGCUUAUCUUAAAGAUUAAGCCAUGCAUGUCUAAGUAUAAACAAAUUUAUACUGUGAAACUGCGGAUGGCUCAUUAAAUCAGUUAUAGUUUAUUUGAACGAUGCAAACACUACUUGGAUAACCGUAGUAAUUCUAGAGCUAAUACAUGCGUGAAAUCUCGACUAUGCAAAUGGAAGAGAUGUAUUUAUUAGUUGUGCAAUUGAAACCAACUGCAAUAAUGUGAUUGGAUGAUGAUUCAUAAUAACUGUUAGCGGAUCGCAUGACCUUCAGAGUCGGCGACAAUUCAUUCAAAUUUCUGCCCUAUCAACUUUCGAUGGUAAUGUAGUGGAUUACUAUGGUCGUAACGGGUGACAGAGAAUUUUGGUUCGAUCCUGGAGAGGGAGCCUGAGAGACGGCUGCCACUUCUAAGGAAGGCAGCAGGCGCGCAAAUUACCCAAUCCCGACACGGGGAGGUAGUGACGAGAAAUAACAAUACAGAGCGGCGCAAGCUGUUUUGUAAUUGGAAUGAGUACAAUUUAAACGCCUUAACAAGUAACAAUUGGAGGGCAAGUCUGGUGCCAGCAGCCGCGGUAAUUCCAGCUCCAAUAGCGUAUAUUAAAGUUGUUGCAGUUAAAAAGCUCGUAGUUGAAAUUAAAUUUAUUUUAUCUUAGUUUUGUGUUGAUUUGUAAUCGAUAAAAAGAUUUGCGAUACAAGAUGAUGAAAUAAAUUUUUAAUUAAUAUUUUUCUAGUUAUAUAAGUAUGAUGGUUUUUAAAUAAACGGCAUUACUAGAAUGACUAGAACGUUUACUGUGAAAAAAUUAGAGUGUUUAAAGCAGGCCAAGCGGGUUAAACCGUAAUCAUGGCCACUGUAUAGUACAGCAUGGGAUAAUAGAACAAGAUUUUCUUGCUUAAGUUUUUGUUGGUUUUUAAAAGUUUAAGCUGCAAAUUCGCACGAUAAAGAAGGAAAGUAAUGAUUAAUAGAGAUGGUUGGGGGCACUUAUAUUUAAUUGUCAGAGGUGAAAUUCUUGGAUUUAUGAAAGAUAAACUUCAGCGAAGGCAUUUGUCAAAGAUGUUUUCAUUAAUCAAGAACGAAAGUUAAGGGAUCGAAGAUGAUCAGAUACCGUCGUAGUCUUAACCGUAAACGAUGCCGACCACGGAUCAGACAAACAAAACCUUGUUUUUAAAAGGGCAAGGAAAUCGCUUACAUCGCAAGAUGUGGAAUGAUAUGUUUGGCACGUUAUGAGAAAUCAUAAGUUUUCAGGUUCCGGGGGGAGUAUGGUCGCAAGACUGAAACUUAAAGGAAUUGACGGAAGAGCA
RNAcentral lists this ribosomal RNA (1312 nucleotides) under uncultured soil eukaryote. RNAcentral's name for it is "SSU rRNA". It matches the Rfam family "Eukaryotic small subunit ribosomal RNA", at positions 13 to 1166 of the family's 1831-position model. The record is from RNAcentral.